Long non-coding RNA from Nicotiana attenuata, 811 nucleotides. RefSeq lists it as uncharacterized. Lineage: Eukaryota; Viridiplantae; Streptophyta; Magnoliopsida; Solanales; Solanaceae. The record is from RefSeq and is a predicted model, not a curated record. The transcript is spliced from 3 exons.
UUUUCAAAUGAAGCAAUCUGAAAAUAUUUGGAUUAUCCUGAUGCCUUCCUUGUGUGGUUCAUUGGUCUCACUCACUUUUCCAAAACAAAACCCCUUAUGCCAAUCAAUAACGCUGCUACUUGAAACCUCAAUCGUCCUUCAUACUGUGCUUAUCUAAUCAAAGGGCUCCUUGUCUAGAUUUAUUGUAAAAGAUUGUAGAUUGCAGUCUUUAGAGAACUUCACAUACCGAGUUAGGGAUUUUCUGCUCGAAGGACUUCCGCCCAUUUUAGUUAUAUUAGGUACAAUCCUUGGCAUCUAUAAACAAAUUCGUGGUCAUUUGGUUAGAAACAGACCUGUGCACUCUUGGCUUGGGAUUUCUAAUGCUUUCGUUGGUUUAACACUAGCAUUUGAGGACUUCUGACGACGUUCAAGGAACCCAUGGACUGUUGGUGUUGGAUUUCUGGCUCAUUACUUCAUCGAACCACUUUUAGGCUUUGCAAUAACGAUGAUUUGAGCUGUGUAGAGGCAAAUUGUAGAGGAAAAGCUAUUUUCAAAGGCUUAGUUGGCCAUGUUGAGAUCCAGGUAUUGAUCGAUAGUAGCUGUGCGGGUCAUCGCAGUGGAGACUCACUGUAACCUGCUGCUGCGUUCGCAGGUCUCGGAGUCACCUUCAUUUGUAAUUACUUUUAUUUGCUCUAUUGUUUCGGGGCAGAGAUGUCUUAUUUUGUAUAAUUACUCUUAGAUGGGUUUGUGACUUGUACCACCGAUUUUGGGAAAUUUUGGAAUUAUUCAGAAUAAUGUAAUUUAAAGUAGUAAGCAUAGAUGAUUCAAUUUA